Molecule: non-coding RNA, 23 nt
Filed under: Rattus norvegicus (Norway rat)
Lineage: Eukaryota; Metazoa; Chordata; Mammalia; Rodentia; Muridae
Source: RNAcentral
UGCCAGUGUCUUGUGUACGAGAA